GAUGAAGAACGCAGCGAAAUGCGAUAAGUAAUGUGAAUUGCAGAAUUCAGUGAAUCAUCGAAUCUUUGAACGCACAUUGCGCCCUCUGGUAUUCCGGGGGGCAUGCCUGUUCGAGCGUCAUUAUAACCACUCAAGCUCUCGCUUGGUAUUGGGGUUCGCGGUUUCGCGGCCCCUAAAAUCAGUGGCGGUGCCUGUCGGCUCUACGCGUAGUAAUACUUCUCGCGAUUGAGUUCGAUAGAUCUACUUGCCAGUAACCCCCAAUUUUUACAGGUUGACCUCGGAUCAGGUAGGGAUACCCGCUGAACUUAAGCAUAUCAAUAAGCGGAGA
RNAcentral lists this unclassified non-coding RNA (328 nucleotides) under soil metagenome. Its description in RNAcentral is "partial contains 5.8S ribosomal RNA, internal transcribed spacer 2, and large subunit ribosomal RNA". The stretch from base 1 to 120 matches the Rfam family "5.8S ribosomal RNA", at positions 35 to 154 of the family's 154-position model. The record is from RNAcentral.